UUCAACUUUCUGUUCUUGGGCAUGGUGUAGGUGUAGAUCUGUCUAUUUGAUCCGCGAUUUUGUUAAACAUCUAAACCUUUCAAACAGAGAUCUCAAUGCCAAAUGUUUUGAAUUAGUCUGUCAUUUGUUGAGGGAGCAGUGAAUCUUAGUUAUGCUCGUACAAAAUAUCGAUACCUGUUGAGCUGGGCUGUUGUUAUCAAAAGUUAAUAUUUCACUCUUAUGAACUUAACAAAUAGAGUUUUCAUUAUAGGAGUUUCUUUGGUCUUUGUCAAGUGAAACAAUCUCCAAAGAAGCUAUGAACUUUGGUUUUCGCUCAGCAUUUUCUUGUUAAUCCUUACUUAUGAUCUUGUCAUGCUAUACAACAAUAUCUUCUUGCUCAUGAACUGGUCUAUUGCUGGUUUUUACGAUUCUGAGUUGGUAAUCGGUUCUACCUAUUUCAGGUGAGACUUGGGAAGAACGGCGUGGAGGAAGUCCUAGGGGUGGGCCUACUUUCAGACUACGAGAACAAAGGACUCAAAGCUCUUCUACCGGAGUUGAAAUCCUCCAUUGAGAAAGGAAUCAAGUUUGCCAACUCAAAUUAAAAUUGGGCCCACUUUCAGACUACGAGAAGAAAGGACUUGAAGCUCUUCUACCAGAGCUGAAAUCCUCCAUUGAGAAAGGAAUCAAGUUUGCCAACUCCAAUUAAAAGAAAUAUUACCAUCUAGUUUUUUCCAAAGUUACAGUUUUGGGAUUCUUGUAGGCAGUUCUGUUGUAUCUUAUGCGAGUUUCUUGCUGCCGGAGGCAUAAAAUUUAGCUCUUUCUGAGCCAGAUGGGCUUUAGGUAUACACAACAUUUCUGGAGAAUAAUGAUUGGCAGACCUUGCAUUUGCCUUUACAUCCCAAAAUAACGUCUACAACAUGUCAACUAUUAUUGUCACUUUCAACUCCAAAUUAGUUUAAUUCGAGUUUGUUUCAUUUGUCAAAUCAGGUCUCAGAUAUUAGUUCCUUAACGACCCGGACUUGUUAUUUCGAAGCAGCACUGCCUCGUGGAAAACCUCGGACGGGGAUACUGGUUCUGAAAUAUGAUAAUACAGCUCUAUAAUGUUACCUAGCGCACCAUUCAACAGACCUUGCAUUUGCCUUUACAUCCCAAAAUAACGUCUACAACAUGUCAACUAUUAUUGUCACUUUCAACUCCAAAUUAGUUUAAUUCGAGUUUGUUUCAUUUGUCAAAUCAGGUCUCAGAUAUUAGUUCCUUAACGACCCGGACUUGUUAUUUCGAAGCAGCACUGCCUCGUGGAAAACCUCGGACGGGGAUACUGGUUCUGAAAUAUGAUAAUACAGCUCUAUUAUGUUACCUAGCGCACCAUUCAACAGUUCUUUUUUCCUUGGGUACUUUUUUUUUUCUUGCAAAUACUAGAUGGUGUUGCUAUUGUUUU
Molecule: long non-coding RNA, 1417 nt
Filed under: Nicotiana benthamiana
Lineage: Eukaryota; Viridiplantae; Streptophyta; Magnoliopsida; Solanales; Solanaceae
Description: long non-coding RNA (NBEN_LNC026771)
Source: RNAcentral